This 763-nucleotide ribosomal RNA is filed under the name Klebsiella ornithinolytica. RNAcentral describes it as "Raoultella ornithinolytica partial 23S ribosomal RNA". It matches the Rfam family "Bacterial large subunit ribosomal RNA", at positions 426 to 1191 of the family's 2925-position model. Lineage: Bacteria; Pseudomonadati; Pseudomonadota; Gammaproteobacteria; Enterobacterales; Enterobacteriaceae. The record is from RNAcentral.
GUGGUAUCCUGUCUGAAUAUGGGGGGACCAUCCUCCAAGGCUAAAUACUCCUGACUGACCGAUAGUGAACCAGUACCGUGAGGGAAAGGCGAAAAGAACCCCGGCGAGGGGAGUGAAAAAGAACCUGAAACCGUGUACGUACAAGCAGUGGGAGCCUACUUGUUAGGUGACUGCGUACCUUUUGUAUAAUGGGUCAGCGACUUAUAUUCUGUAGCAAGGUUAACCGUAUAGGGGAGCCGCAGGGAAACCGAGUCUUAACUGGGCGUUAAGUUGCAGGGUAUAGACCCGAAACCCGGUGAUCUAGCCAUGGGCAGGUUGAAGGUUGGGUAACACUAACUGGAGGACCGAACCGACUAAUGUUGAAAAAUUAGCGGAUGACUUGUGGCUGGGGGUGAAAGGCCAAUCAAACCGGGAGAUAGCUGGUUCUCCCCGAAAGCUAUUUAGGUAGCGCCUCGUGAACUCAUCUUCGGGGGUAGAGCACUGUUUCGGCUAGGGGGUCAUCCCGACUUACCAACCCGAUGCAAACUACGAAUACCGAAGAAUGUUAUCACGGGAGACACACGGCGGGUGCUAACGUCCGUCGUGAAGAGGGAAACAACCCAGACCGCCAGCUAAGGUCCCAAAGUCAUGGUUAAGUGGGAAACGAUGUGGGAAGGCACAGACAGCCAGGAUGUUGGCUUAGAAGCAGCCAUCAUUUAAAGAAAGCGUAAUAGCUCACUGGUCGAGUCGGCCUGCGCGGAAGAUGUAACGGGGCUAAACCAUG